AUUGAACGCUGGCGGCAGGCCUAACACAUGCAAGUCGAACGAGUGGCGGACGGGUGAGUAAUGUCUGGGAAACUGCCUGAUGGAGGGGGAUAACUACUGGAAACGGUAGCUAAUACCGCAUACCAUCGGAUGUGCCCAGAUGGGAUGUGCUAGUAGGUGGGGUAACGGCGAACCUAGGCGACGAUCCCUAGCUGGUCUGAGAGGAUGACCAGCCAAACUGAAACUGAGACACGGUCCAGACUCGUACGGGAGUGAGCAGUGGGAAAUAUUGCACAAUGGGCGCAAGCCUAAUGCAGCCAUGCCGCGUGUAUGAAGAAGGCCUUCGGGUUGUAAAGUACUUUCAGCGAGGAGGCGUUACCCGCAGAAGAAGCACCGGCGAACUCCGUGCCAGCAGCCGCGGUAAUAC
This 406-nucleotide ribosomal RNA is filed under the name uncultured bacterium. RNAcentral's name for it is "partial 16S ribosomal RNA". It matches the Rfam family "Bacterial small subunit ribosomal RNA", at positions 30 to 526 of the family's 1533-position model. The record is from RNAcentral.